GGAUUGAGAUCCGGUGCCCUGACUAAGGCAGGGCACCGAUGAACAGUACGGUGCCCUCCCCCCUUUUUUAGCCGUCGGAUCAAAAAUGAAUGGACAGAUGACUAUGAACAGUGCAUCUGCUACAGGACAACAAACAGUGCGCUUGCUACAGGACAUUCGCUACAGUAUUUAUCUACAGUGCAUCUGCUACAGGGUAGUGUACAGUACCAAGCUACAGUGAUUAAUCUUGGCUCUCUAUUUUUGAUCCAACGGCCGAAACUGCAGGGCACGGUACUGUUCAUCCGUGCCCUGCCUUCAUGGGGGCACCGGAUCCGUGUCCUUCCUCGAGUAGCUUGCUUCCAUGGCGCACUGCAUUUCUCCGCCCGCGUCGCUGCCCCUCCAUGGCCCAUGUGGCCGCCGCCCCUCCCUUCCUCUCGCUCCCCACCACCACCGUCCUCCCCACGAGUAUCCCCUUCUUCCUGUCACCCCCGGCAGACACGUCUUCGAGGUCAAAUGUCGCAUUUUUAUGCUCCGGCGCUCGAUCUGCAUGUGGUGCCGCUACACCUGCGUGCGCUGGCCCUCGAUCUGCUCUAAUACGGAGAGAAUACGGAGCAGCGGAUUUGUAUAUGGCGCCGGAGUAGCAGGAAGACGGCGCCCUCGUCGUGGAGGAGGACGACCGCUCCGUGGCCGCCAACCUUCGUCUCUGCGCGAUGGCCGCUCUCUGAGAGCAAUCGCCGCGUCGAGCGCCGAGGUGCCUGCGAUUCCUCUCUGAGAGGCCAUAGCGAGGUUUGAUUCCUCCCUUCCCAGUUCCCAUGGACUAUUAGAGUAGAGUUUGUGUACAGUUCUUGUGACAGUUAGCUGCAAUUGCAAAUCUAUACUCAGGUUCUGAAAUUUUGCGAGCGCUUCAAAAAGUUCUUGUAGCUCCACUUGGGAUGUGUUAAUUUGGUGAUAAAUUAGUCCAAAUUUUUUAUCCCGAAUAAGGCUCCUUGAACGCCAAUUUUACAAGGAAUUAGAAAGUGUAUCCAUGUCUGAAAAUAGAUCUACUGUAUAACAUGUUGUCUUCUUGAAUUUCAUCUGUCAGGUUGACAAGCUAUCAUUCAGAGAACAAAUGGCCUGCAUUUUGAAACUGUGAAACUUUGGCCAAACAAGCAUUUUAACCAUCUACGCUACUUGUAUUCUGAGUGGUUACGAUCAUCUCGUGCAGGUAGUGGCACCACAGGUUUAGGUAGCAUGUCUACUAGGAGUAUUAUUUUUCAGAUGAAAACUCUGACACUAACUUAUUAUGCAAGUGCUGCACACAUGUUUUUUGAAACAUUGGUAACACUUGGACUGUAGCCUACCUAUUUUUUACAUAUAAUUUCUUGUUCUUGUUGGCUCAUAAAUAUUUUCUCUGUUUUUGAUGUUUUUUAGAAUGUUUUUGUUUAUCUAGGCCCUGAGGAGUUAUGAUUACACUUAUGUACAAUAGGAAGAAGCAUAUAGUGAUAUUUUAUUUUCACUUAGAUCUUCACUCUCAGCCGCCAAACUCUGAGUAACUCAAUUCAGGGUUGAGUAGUUUACUCCUUCCUGUAAUAAUUUGAUUGACGUGAAGAUUAAGGUGAGAAGAGAUGGGAGAUGGGGCUCAGGAACGAAGGUGGGGGCAGGCAGCGAUGGAGGCCAGAAGAGAUGGGAGAUGGGGGGAGGAAAUGGCGCAGGUCGAACAUAGGUGGUGGGCGGCGACCGCGGAUAGAAGAAUGGGAAAAAGUGCUUACAAGCAAUGUUAUGAGAGAGAAGUGGACAACAAGAGGGUGCUUGUUGGUGUAGAGCGUGGUAGAACUGUUCCAAAUUGGCGUUCUAGGAGAUUGGGUGGUGGUCUUGGAUCAAGCAGGAUUGGUGGUGUAGAUGCUGCCUAAAAGCAUUGUUCUAGGUGCCUUGCCUGGGAGUAGCUGCCUUGCCAGAGUAGGUGCCUUGCCGGAGUAGCUGGGGCGGAGGUGCUGGCUAGGGCGGAGGUGCUGGCUAGGGCGGAGGUGUUGCAUGGGCCGGAGGUGCUGGACAGGGCCGGAGGUGCUGGCUGGGGGCGGAGGUGUUGGACGGAGCCGGAGGUGCUGGCUGGGGGCGGAGGUGCUGGACGGGGCCGGAGGUGCUGCACAGGGCGGAGGUGUUGGACGGAGCUGGAGGUAUUGCAGGGGGCGGAGGUGCCACACUGGGCCGGAGGUGCUGGCUGGGGGAGUGGGGGCGGAGGAAUCGCUGGGAACGGAACGCCGUCGAAGACGAUGAUGCGGGGAAGGCGAUCGCGAUCCAGAUUGAGGAGGGUAGAAUUGUAAAUUUGCACGUUUUUCACCUGGUCGGAAAAAGUUCAAAACGUCUUACAUUUUAGAACGGAGGGAGUAUUCAAUAUCGGAAGACCAUAUACAAUUUUGAACAAGUUUCCAUACAUAAUUUACUUCUUCAUCCACA
Lolium perenne is the source of this 2412-nucleotide long non-coding RNA. RefSeq lists it as uncharacterized. The record is from RefSeq and is a predicted model, not a curated record. NCBI's taxonomy places the organism in Eukaryota, Viridiplantae, Streptophyta, Magnoliopsida, Poales, Poaceae.